Molecule: long non-coding RNA, 637 nt
Organism: Betta splendens (Siamese fighting fish)
Lineage: Eukaryota; Metazoa; Chordata; Actinopteri; Anabantiformes; Osphronemidae
Source: Ensembl
AGCGAAUUCACCCUUGACUCUGCAUAUUUGACCUUUGCGCCAACAUCACUCUUCAGUUUGAGGGAUUCUUCAGUCGUUCAGUCAUGAAACUGCUGGUGCUCGUUCUGUGCGUCUUGGCAUUAAGUUCUGCCUUUCCUGCCUCUGAGGAGAAUGAGCGAAUCAAACGCUCUAAAAGUAAAAGUAACGAGCGGAUGCCCUACCCACCCUACAUCUACUACCCACCACCACCACAACCCCCUGUCACCCCCCCUCCUACCAAUCAGCAAAUCCCGCCUAGCGCAAUAUUGGCCUUGCUUCAGUAUUUGGCAGCUCAAGGAAAAUGAUAAAACAAACUGGUUGCAAGAGAUUAUUUCAUCUUCGGCAUAAAUAAACCAUUGUGAUAAUGAUAGUAUUUGUGGAUGUUUUUUUUUUAUUUCUUUUUCAGCUUUUAACCUUUACUUGAACAAUGUAUUACAACAGCAACAGAAACAAUAACCAAAUACAUAGAAAGAGAUUUUCUCAUUAUUUUUUAUAACUGAAAGCAUGUUAGUUUAAUGGAUUUUACAUUCAGAGAAACACAUGGUAACACUGCAUAAUAGAAGAAAUGGCAGGCUAGAAAUUAAAAUAAAAAAUUAUAAGUCUAACCUUUUGGGCCCCA